Long non-coding RNA from Cervus elaphus (red deer), 461 nucleotides. RefSeq lists it as uncharacterized. Lineage: Eukaryota; Metazoa; Chordata; Mammalia; Artiodactyla; Cervidae. The record is from RefSeq and is a predicted model, not a curated record. The transcript is spliced from 3 exons.
GGGGAUCACCCCCCCCCCCCACUUUAAAUUUUUUCCUGUAAGGCAUCCAGCCAGCAAAUCUCCUGACGUAGAGCUGAGCUUAGAGAUGGUUGAGGGCGCGGUCCGGGACUUCCUGUCAUUCCUGCCAUUCUGUCCUGUGCCUGCCCCUUCCUGGUACACUGUGUUCCCUUCUUGAUGUCAGGCGAGUGUAUGCUCCUUGGUUUUUGUCUCGUCACAACAAAGAUUUGGAGUGACGGACAUUAAAGCCCCCCUCGGCGUGUCACAGCUCUUGGGUCUUGGACAGACCGUGCUAUAACUCUCAGGUCUCAAACGGACUGUGUUAUAGCUCUUAGACAAAUCAGUGUUACAGCUUAGUGUUACAGCUGUAUUUUAUUUAGAAGAUAACAGGAAAAUCCAUCUUCAAGGUGUGAGGGCGCGUCGAUCCAAAGACAAGAAGAGAAGAGCACCCCAGUACCCCAGCA